AGAUUGAACGCUGGCGGCAUGCUUUACACAUGCAAGUCGAGCGGCAGCGCGGGGGCAACCCUGGCGGCGAGCGGCGAACGGGUGAGUAAUGCAUCGGAACGUGUCCCGUAGUGGGGGAUAACGCCGGGAAACCGGCGCUAAUACCGCAUACGCUCUACGGAGGAAAGCAGGGGACUUCGCAAGAGGCCUUGUGCUAGGGGGAGCGGCCGAUGUCCGAUUAGCUAGUUGGUGGGGUAACGGCUCACCAAGGCGACGAUCGGUAGCUGGUCUGAGAGGAUGAUCAGCCACACUGGGACUGAGACACGGCCCAGACUCCUACGGGAGGCAGCAGUGGGGAAUUUUGGACAAGUGGGGGCAACCCUGAUCCAGCCAUGCCGCGUGCGGAAGAAGGCCUUCGGUGUAACCGCUUUAGCCGGACGAACGGCCUGGUUAAUACCCGGUUAUUGACGGUACCGGCGGAAGUAAGCGACCGGCUAACUACGUG
This 484-nucleotide ribosomal RNA is filed under the name uncultured soil bacterium. RNAcentral's name for it is "bacterial SSU rRNA". It matches the Rfam family "Bacterial small subunit ribosomal RNA", at positions 26 to 507 of the family's 1533-position model. The record is from RNAcentral.